GGAAUGUAGCUUAGUGGUAGAGUACUUGCCUAGCAUGCAUGAAGCCCUGGGUUCAAUUCCUCAGUACCA
RNAcentral lists this transfer RNA (69 nucleotides) under Dipodomys ordii (Ord's kangaroo rat). It matches the Rfam family "tRNA". Rfam says of the family: Transfer RNA (tRNA) molecules are approximately 80 nucleotides in length. Their secondary structure includes four short double-helical elements and three loops (D, anti-codon, and T loops). The record is from Rfam by way of RNAcentral. Lineage: Eukaryota; Metazoa; Chordata; Mammalia; Rodentia; Heteromyidae.